CCUACGAGAGGCAGCAGUGAGGAAUAUUGGUCAAUGGGCGCGAGCCUGAACCAGCCAAGUAGCGUGAAGGAAGACUGCCCUAAGGGUUGUAAACCUCUUUUAUAAGGGAAUAAAGUGAGGCACGUUUGCCGUUUUGCAUGUACCGUAGGAAUAAGGAACGGUCAAAUCCGUGACAGCAGCCGCGGUAAUACGGAGGAUCCGAGCGUUAUCCGGAUUUGUUGGGUUUAAAGGGUGCGUAGAUGGGUUGUUAAGUCAGUUGUGAAAGUUUGCGGCUCAACCGUAAAAUUGCAGUUGAUACUGGCAGUCUUGAGUACGUUUGAGGUAGGCGGAAUUCGUGGUGUAGCGGUGAAAUGCUUAGAUAUCACGAAGAACUCCGAUUGCGAAGGCAGCUUACUAAACUGCCACUGACAUUGAUGCUCGAAAGUGUGGGUAUCAAACAGGAUUAGAUACCCGAGUAGUC
RNAcentral lists this ribosomal RNA (460 nucleotides) under uncultured bacterium. RNAcentral describes it as "partial 16S ribosomal RNA". It matches the Rfam family "Bacterial small subunit ribosomal RNA", at positions 338 to 795 of the family's 1533-position model. The record is from RNAcentral.